GGUGCCCUGCUCCUUCACUGUUGGUGGGAAUGUAAAUUGGUACAACCACUAUGGAGAACAGUAUGGAUGUAUCUCUGAAAACAAAAUGUAGAACUACCACAUGGUCCAGCAAUCCCACUCCUAAAUAUAACACUACCAAUACCAAUACCUAUCUCAGAACUCUUGCAAAUUCAAAUUCUAUGUGGCAGACAACUGUUACUACCUGGAGAUAGCAGCAGAUGCCAUGGGUUAAGGGCUCAGUCCCACAAGACACUCCCCUCCACUUUAUUUUAUUUUUUUAGGGCUGCACAUGUGGCACAUGGAAGUUCAUGUGCUGGAGGUUGAAUACGAGCUUCACCUGGAGUCUAUGCCACAGCCAUAGCAACACUGGAUCUGAAGUGUAUUAUGAGCCUACACCGCAGCUUGUGGCAAUGCCAGAUCCUUAACCCACUGAGUGAGGCCAGGGAUCAACCCUGCAUCCUCAUGGAUACUAGUUAGAUUCUUAACCUGCUGAACCACGAUGGGAACUCCCACUCGCCUCCACUUUAGAUGACCAUCUCAAGUCCAGGUUGUUGCUGGUGUCUCUGACCAACUGGCUGUAGAUUGCAAGUUCCAGUGACCACCUCUAUGGUUUGAUUAAUUUGCUAGAGUGGCUCACAAGACUUGGAGAAACAUUUCAUUUACUAGAUUACCAGUUUGUUGUAAAGGGAUAUAACCUAGAAACGGUGAUGCUUAGGGCAAGGUAUGUGGAAAGGGGCUUACAGCUUCUUUGCUCUCUUUAGUCUUGUCACUCUCCCUGAAUCUCCAUGUAUUCACCAACCUGGAGGUUCUCUGAAUCCUGUCCUUUUGGGGUCUUGUGGAGGCUUCAUAACAUAGGUACAAUUGAUUAAAUCAGUGGCCGCUGGCUCUUGAUCCAGGCUCCAUCCCCUCUCAUCUCCAUGAUCUUUCUCAUUAUGGCUUAUUUCACUUAUGACCUCCAGAAUCAUCUAUGUUGUUACAAAUGGCAGAAUUCCUAAUUUUUUUAAAUGGUGGCAUAAUAGUCCAUUUACACCCCCCCACACACAUUUUAUUUCUCCAUUCACCCAUUGAAGGACAUUUAUUUCCAUAUUUUGGCUGUUGUGAGUAAUCCUGCAGUAAGAUGGGGGUACUGAAAGUGCCAACCCUUCAGUCAUGUGGAUGGUUCUCCUGGCAACCCGCCCCCAUCCUUAGAUGCUUUCCAAAAGUCACCUCAUUAACACAAACUCAGGUGUAGUUGAAAGGGGUUUAUUAUGAACAUCAAGACAUGUUUAUUGAUUGCUCUUAUCAUUUGGGAAUUUCCAAAUGUUUUAUGAGCUCUGUGCCAGAAAUGAGGAAGAAGAUUAAAUAUAUAUUUCUUGUUAUAGGUCACACUAUCACAAUUAGUAAGGACAAAAAGAGUGGGAAAUGAGGUGUAUUAGAGAAGCCUAGUGGUGCAUCUAUAGGAUAUCAGAUAAUCUUGGAAGUUUGCAUUUCUAAUUGAGUUGAGACGACUGGACAGGUAAGGUAUUAUGAGAUUCAUCCUAAGGUCAGAAUGUGUAGUAUAUUGUUAAAACCUAAGAAUUUUUUAACUUUAUAGAGGAAUAAUUGACAAAUGUAUAUAUUUAAAGAAUACAAUGUGAUGACUUGAUGCAUAUAUACAUUGUAAAAAUAUCACUAGGAUAAAGAUAAUAAACAUAUCCAUGACCUCAAGUAACACAGGUCACUGUUUUGUGUGUAUAUGAGGUGAGAAUGCCGAGGAUGUUAUGCACAACACAGUGACACACUCUCUCUCUCUCUCCAUAUAUAUAUAUAUAUAUAUAUAUAUAUAGUGCAAAAUGAUGACCACAGUAAGUCCAGUUAACAUUUGUCAACAUACAGUUACAUUUUUUUCACUGAGAAGUUUUAAAAUUUGCUUUUUAAAGCAACUUCCAAAUAUACAAUUAUUCACUAUAGUUACAAUGCUACAUGUUAGAUGAGAACUUUUUCUUCUUAUAGCAGAAAAUGUGUGCCCAUUACCCUACAUCACUCUAUUUUUCCCUUCCCCCAGCCCCUGGCAACCACCAUUCUAUUCUCUGUUUCAGUGAAAUCAGCUUGCUUUUUUUAGAUUCCACAUAUAAAUUAUAUCAUGUAGUAUUUGUCUUUCUCUUUCCAGCUUAUUUUCCAUAGCAUAAUACACUCCAGAUGCAUCCAUGUUAUUGCAAGUGACAGGAUUUCCUUCUUUUUUUAAUGGCUGAAUAAUAUUUUAUUGUGUAGGUAUGUAUAUGUUUCAUAUAUAUACAUAUAUAAAACAUCUUUAUUGUAUAUGUAUAUGUGUUUUAACAUCUGUGUAUCCAUUGAAAGACAUUUGGGUUGUUUUCAUAUCUUGGCUAUUGUGAAUAAUGCUGCAACAACAUGGGGGUGCAGAUUUCUCCUAAAGAUUCUGAUUUCACUUCCUUCAGAUAUAUACCCACAUAUAUCAUAUGCUGGAUCAUAUGAUAGUUUUUUGUUUGUUUUUGUUUUUUCUAGGAAUCGCCAUACUGUUUUCCAUAGUGGAUGUACCAGUUUACAUUUCCACCUGCAGUUUAUAAGGGUUUCCUUUUCUUAACACUCUGACGAUGUAUGUUUUGUCUUGUCUUCUUGAUGAUAGCUUAUUCUAACAAAUAUGAGGUGAUAUCUCAUGUGGCUUUGAUUUUCAUUUCUCUGAUGAUUAGUGAUGAGUAGUGGAGUGAGACUAAUUUUAUAAGAAGCACCAGACACUUUAAGUGUAAAGACAAGGUCAAAAGUAAAAGGAUGGAAAGAGAUACACCAGGCAGGUGUUGACUUCUUUCAUUUUCUAAUCCAGCUUAUUUGUUUUUUCACCAUAUAUAUGUUUAACACCUAAUAGGUGUAAGGCACCAUCUUAAGUACGAUGAUGUAUAUAAAAAAUCUAGAUAUUUGAAUUUUCUAUUAUUUUGAAUUUUAGAUAGGAAAAUUUAAAAGUGGUAGGGUAUUUUCACAUAAGUAUUUGUUCCUUAAAAUUCUUAUUCUUCACAGAAAAAAGCCAACUUGUACAACCCAACUGUCCAGUUAAUUGUCUUUUUGUAGUUAUAUCUACUAGAAAAAAUAGAAUAGUUUUAAUUAUAGUGGUAGGCAUCAGUAGUCUUUAGUAAAUCCUUUAAUCCUGUCUAUGUCUUUAUAAGGAAGAGUAUAACAACAGUAAUAUUUUAUAUAUACUCUGAGUAAAAUAUUUGUCUCAAUCCUUGUGAUUUAGUCAUUAAUUCUUUAAUUUUAUUACUUUAGAAAUCAUGUCACCUCUACUUUAUUUUUGAAUGGGGAAUUGAAUCUGAUUUUUCCUCUUGAGUCUAGGAUGUUAUUCUCAACAUGUGGUGAAUCCCUGUUAGAAAUCAAUAAAAGCUUCACUAGAUGUUUCUUAUAGAGAAAACUAAUUUUCUUUUCUUAACCUUCUUCACUUUAUUAUCAUCAGAAUAUAAUUCAGAGAAAGGAUUGUAAUGUAUGUUGACAGGGCCUUCCUGCAGAGAGGGCGUUCCAGUUGACUUGCUGAUUUCCACAGGAAAAUGCCUUGCCUAGUGCAUAAUUCAGUUUUCUGUGUGAGCACUGUUGCAGUGCUAUUACAGGUGCUAUUUAAGGAAGUGAUAGACUGUAAAUGCUAUCAUAGUUCUAAUCGGACAUAGCAUCACUUGCAAGAAAUGGCAGGACUGGGUGGAUGUAAUCCAGCGUAGCUAAGUUCUGACAGCUGUCACUUCAGAGAACUAUCAGUCGUUACUUUUGGGAGACCACUGAGCUUCUAAGAUAAGGAGAACUGAAAUGAUUCACAGGUAAUUCAAAUGGAUGCAUUUAAUGUACUCAGUUUGAAGCGUUUAUUUUGGCUUCCUUGGUGUCUCUCCUCUCCCUUUUUUUUUUUUUUUUUUUUUUUUACAGUUUUUUCUUGGGUUCUGGGUAUGAAAAAAAAGGUGAGAAGAAAUUGAGUCUUUGCAUUUUGCAAAAGGCCAAUGUCUAAUUUUUAUUUUGAAGGACCUCAGAUAAAACCGUUUAAUCUUAACAACUCCAUGCUUUAUAAAUGAACAAAAUGAUUUUCUUUCAGCUAUUCUGUUAAUAAUAUUUUCAAAUGAUGAAAAAAACCCUCACUGAGUGAAUACAUGUUCAUUUUGCUGUUGCCAAAGAGACGUGAAAUAAAGCAGUAAUGGGUGGGCCUCAGCUGAACCAUGAUGUGGAUGAGGUUUUCCCCAGGGGCCUCACACAUCCCCUCUCUUGCCCUUUCUCCUAUUUCCUGGGCCUCAUUCUCCACCUGUUCUUACUUCCAGAUAUGUAAGGCUCUCAGGCAGCUCUGCAGUCAGGGCUUCUCCCAGCUCUGCCUGCCAAGGCCCUCCAGCCUCAGGCAGUGCAUCACGCCGGAGUUUGGUCUUCCAACCAGUCAUCUAAACUAAACAAAAACAGACACCUAAUCUUACACACUGGAUCCCAACUAGCUGCCGCUGCUGGAAGUGAGUGCCACUCUUGGAACUCAGUCUUAUUAUGGUAUUGGUGCACUGUUAAUGCUUAAUAUAUUAUUUCUCCCAAGGUUGCUGGCAUUUUGAUAAGCAACUCCUAAUGGCCAUUUGCAUUUAAGGCAAAGGAAUGAUUAUCCUAAAUUGGGAAUUUCAGGCAUGUUUAUGGUCUAGUUGGUCUAAGAAGGGGGCAGCUUCUGUGUUUUCUCUGGGGCAGACAAAUCCCCUUCUUUCCUGACUUUCUUCAUAUCUUGCUUCUUCAGUAGAGUGUUUGAGAAAUCCUCCCUCAUAGCCAGGCUGUCAGGGGCUUACAUUUCUCCUGUGAGGUCCCAGGUUUGGCCGGUUUGCAGCCAUUCCCACCAGUUCUAGGAGGGACCCCCCUUGGAUACAGCCCUAAUCCAGAUUUGGUCCUCCUACCAUCUCCAUACCACUUGGCCCUUCUGGGGCCACAUUCCUUCUGCCUUGUGAUAGAACUUUGUUGCCUUCCAUCUGGCAUUGCUCCUGAAUGCUAUAUCUGUAAUAUGAACAUACUCUGUGACUAUUAACAAAUCCUUGGUGUUGCUGAUUCUUCUCCCAGGUUUUCUUAUUUUUCUACUCCUUUUCUCUCUAGCUCUGGUUCUCUGUCUCUCACUGUCCUGCAUUGUCAACUCUGCCCUGUAGAUACUGUUACCAACAGUGGAGUUACAAUACAGAGCCUGGUAAGUACAUGACACAAAACACUUGUUAGUAAAGGAAGAUUCAUGAUUUGAACCUUGGUUGUCUUGCAGAGUGUACUCAUUUCACUCUAUCACAGAUGCAUAACCCUUCCUCCCCUCACCCACGGUCUUCAUUUUUCUAAGAUGAAAAAUGUCAGCCCUCCUAGGAUAGGAUUACUAGAUUCUUCGUCAUUCUGACCAUUUUCUUAUAGGAAAAUCCACUUUGUCAAUGUCUCACUGAAAAUUUGGUGUCUAAAAAGGAACAAAAUAUAGGCAGCAUGAGAGUUCACUUAAGUGUUUUAUCAUCCAGCCCACAUUUCUCCAUCUUGUACACACAGAUAUCAUGGGAGACUUUAUAAAAAUGCCUUGCUGAAAUCUUUGCAUGGAUUUACCAUGUUGAAAAGGAAAUUGGGUUAUUUGAUAUAAAACAUACACACAAACACAUGAGCACACAUGGGACAACAUUUACACAUUACAACUUAAAUGUGUAAAAAAAUAGUAUUCUUUAUUUUCCACAAGGGAUCUCAACUUGUCCUCUAUCCCAUAUUCCAUUUGGGAGUGGAAAAAUAAAUCUAAAACUUACCUGUUUUUAGUGUCUUGGUAACUCAGUCUCUUCUGUCUUUAAAUAGUCUGUGUUAGGUGAGCUCAGUGUCUUUUGGAUAAAUAUUUAUUCAAAUUCAGAAUUUGAACUUCUUACCAGAAAGAGCUAUUUCUCUCCUUUCAAAGAUUUGCCCCUCUACCUCCUGUUCCUUAGGAUGUUAUAUGGGUAUCAGCGAGGGGGGCCUCAAGGACGUCAGUGUAGGGUAAAUAGUCUUUGUGCUGUUGUUGGUGUCUUCUCUGGUCAUUGUGGAUAUAUUCCUUAUCUCUUGAUCAUUCAAAGUCCUGCUGGCAUCUGCUGAUGGAGUCUAUGGAAGGGCUCAGUGUAAAACAUCUAUCUGCUAUAAACUGUAGCCCCUUUUCUCACUCUGAAGGGCCCAGGUAAAAUGUACAGGAGAUAGACAAGCUGACAGUGAAAUGGUAAGUAUGUGGGGUUAAGGAUGGGCAGUGAGUUUCAGGUUGUUGACAUGGCAAGCCUUGGGAGCUGUGGCUCAGGCUGCAGGAAGAGCUAUUGCUAAAGCUAGCCCCAGAUCCUGUGGUCCAUUUUAGCUAAGAGUUUAGGGGCUAGGAGCAAGUAGUAUAUAGGAGUGCUUCUGUAAAUCUGUGAUCUCAAUGUGGGACUCUGUUUCCAGUCUCUAGCUUCAGAAAUGCGAGGAUUUCCAUGCAAGUGGUCCUGUGCAAGCUUUCUUUAUGAGAACAAACCAACUGUUGUCAUCACAGAAACAGGGGCAGAGUGGACAGAGCAUAGGCUUGGAUACAGAGCUGGGUUUACUCCUACUGACUUUCUCUUGACCUUGGAAAAGUUACUGGACUUUUCUGAAACCCUGUACAACGGGCAUAAUAAAUGCCUAUCUGAUUAAAGAAAAAGUGUUCAUCAAUAAAUGAAAGCUGUAAUUGUACAUCAUAACAAUAUCUUCUCAGCACAAACACUGUUUUUCUAACAUUCUGAGAUCAGAGCUUGCUUCUUUCACCACUGGUUGGCUUCAUUAAGUAUGACAUUUCCCCCCAGUGCAACCAUUUUUCUUUGAGACAAAUGCCUUUUUUUUCCCCUCAGAGGAAUGUGUUUCUCCCUCUUCCUGACAGAGCCCGGAGGAUCCCUAUGAACAUCCUUCCGCUCUCCCGCCUUGGGAAUCCUAGACCACACUGGCCCCGUAUCACUGCCAUCAUUACUCUGCCCAGGGAGGCCUGGUAGAAACUCCCUUCGUGAUUUGUUGACGUCAAUUCUGAGGAUGUACAAGGUGGAUUAAGAAAAGGCCUCUGAUAGUUUUUACUUUUCAGGGAGCCAAAUGUUUUUCUAAUUAGAAGGAAAAGGAUUUAGCACAGGCAGGCCAGGCCCACAGCUUUGUCAAGGAAGAGACAACAAAACUCUCAUUUUUCCCCCAGGCCCUCUUGUCUUUCCCAUUGGGCCUCACCUUCUUGUCAUGCUUUAAGCCUUUAAGUUUCCUUCUGGAAACUUCUCGGCCAGGGCACUACUCUGUUCUGUAUCCAGACUGUGACUGAGGAUGAGGCAGGCAAGAAGAGCCUGUUUGUGAAGAGCAAGACCGGUUCUAUUCUUGUGGUUGUGUAGGUGGCCUUUCCCCAUCAUGUUCUGGGUGCCUCCUCUAUUUAUUUACUUAAUCUAAUUCCUGCAGCAAGAGUUACAAAACACAAGUGCAUCUCCUUUUCCAACCAGUAUUUGACCCCUAAAAUAUUCUCAUGAGGAGCCCAGCAAACUUGUGCCAAACCUGAGGUUCUUUCGUCCUUAUCAGGGGAAGUGGCUCCAGAUAAUCAUGUACAUCAUGUCUUCUCCAGUGACUGCCCAUUGCCUGGCUAUCUGUGGAGCAUGGGGAGAGCUGUGGCCAAGUGGAAGCUUGGUGGUACCAUCAUAUCUCUCUUGCUGACAGAAUUCUCAAGCUUUUGGAGCCAAGAAGUGGAGUUAGGUGUGAUCCUGGUCUUCCCAGUUUGACUAAACUGGCCUCAAAGAAGCAAUUGCAGUUUUAAAAGUAAGUUCAAGGGCAUCUUGGCCUGGGCUCUCUGUAAUCUAUAAAUAUCUCUAGAAUUCUCUGCAGGUAUGUUUUUCUAGGAGUCCAUGAUUCUACAAUACACUUACUCACUGGCUUGGGGAAAAUGAAGCCAACGUGUGACUAGGGGCAUGCAAUAGAAUCAGAUGACCAGAAGGUGGCACUAGUAGUAUUUAGAAAGUUGCCUCUGCAGUGCAUUAGGUAACUAAUGCAGUGCUUGCUUCCGUCCAACUGGCUAAAAGGGACACAACCGUGUUUUGUUAACACCAUGUUACACAGAGCUUUUUUGGUGGAUUUCUGUUUUUACCCAAACCAUUAUGGCCUACUUUCCUGCCGUGUUAGGAGUGUUACAAUGAAUUCAAAGACCGGAAGGUUUUGUUUGUUGAAAUUUGCUCUAUGUGUUUAUGCUUUCUAUUCUUUGAAGCUUUGACAAAAACAGCCCCCAGUUCUCUGGGAAGUAAGAGAACCCAUUUGUUUAGCAACUGUUCACUCUCAUUGGAAAUGUUCCAGGGGUCUAGAUGCAAGGUUGUUAUUGUCUGUCCUGUCAAGCAUUUUGCUGUCAAGGCUUUUAAUAUUCUUUUUGUGAGUUUAAUGUAAAAAGGCACCAAGUUAAUGCUGCCUUUACAUGACUAAUAGACUGCUUCAUGAAUAAGUAACUCUGUCUAUAUAUUUUUAAUAGGAAAAGAACUUACUUGAAAGGAACUUGAAAGCCACCGAGAAACUUGGGAGAAACUCGACCAGAAGCCUCCCUGACUAUUACUUUGUUUAGCAGAGUAAGGUUUUUCAGAGAAAGUAGUUGGCAGCAGUCCUGGUAAUGGCAACAGAGAAGCCUCUCCUAUUAUCCACUUGCUCUGAGCCUUGGGGAACAAGGAACUGUCAGUCAUGAGAAGAGGUACAGCAGAGGUUGCAAACUUCUGUAAUGAUCCAAAUAGUGAAUAUUUUAGGCUUCGUGGGCCAUUAGGUCUCAGUUGCUGCUGCUCCACUUAGCUUGAAAGCAACUAUCAAUGGUAUAUAAUUGAGUGGGUGUGGCUUUGUUCCAAUAAGACUUUAUAUACAAAAACAGAUGGUAGACUGGAUUUGGCAGAUGAUAUUCACCAAUGGCCCAUAGUUUGCAGACCCCUGAACUAGGGAAAGGGAAACUUAACUUUUCAUAAACUUAGCUUUUCAUUCUCUGUUGUGGACAUUUCCUUUUUGAUCCUCUUGUUUUGCUAGGGUAGCAGCUACAUGUUGUCCAGAUGCAUUUGGCCUUGACCUCAUAGAUUUUCAACUCUUGCAGGAACAAAAGGGGAAGAGCAGGUUCUGUUUCUUUGGCUACUGCAAGUAGGAUAAAUCACUGGCAAAGCAGUGGGCAGUGACCCUUUGUUUUAUCUCCUCCUCCGUUCUCAAAAGUGAGGGUUGUAUUCGGUUAAGUGGAUUCAGGAUAAUCUAGUGGCAUCAUAUUUGGCCAAUACUCAUCCUUUAAGAUAGGGUUUGGCACAAGACAGUUGCUUGGCCAAAUCUGCCCCCCACUUGUGGUAAAUACAGUUUUACUGGGACACAGCCAUGCUCAUUUGCUUACACAUCAUCCAUUCCUGCUUUUGCUUUAAAAUGACAGUUAAGUAGUUUCUACAGAGACUUUACAACCUACAGAGAUUAAGGUAAUAACUAUCUGGCCCUCUAUAAAAAAGUUUGCAGACCUUUACUCUAGAAUAGUAUUUUUCAGACUCGUGAUAGGAAACUAGCUUUUCUUUUCUUUUUAAAAAUCCGUCAAUCCGUCAUGAUGACAUUGUCAUCAUCUGUCCAUGACUGGCAGCAACUUGUCCCACAUGUAACUAACCGCACAUGUGCUGAAAUACCACACUGGUUCAUUCAUUUUGACAGAUGUGAGUCCAUUGCUUCUUGGAUGUGGCCACAUGUCAGUGUCAAUGUCAAUAUCAAAGGACUAUGAAAGUUUUAAAUACUUACAUCCAAUUUCUGUACUCGUCUAGUAGUGGCCAGGAACAGGCAGGCUGCAAAGCAGCAACAUGCUUCUAGGGCAGUGCUACUCGAAGUGCAUCAACCAUAACUUCACUUGAAUAUCUUGUUAAAGUUCAGAUUCUGAUUCAUUCGGUAAGUCUAGGGUAGAGCUUAUCAUUCAGAAUUUCUAACAAACUUCUGGAUGAUAUCGAUGCUACUUGUUCACAGACUAUUCUUUGAGAGGCACUGCUGUAGAGGUAUUUCUAAAGCAGUCAAAUUAGACAUCACUUAUAGCCUCUACUCACAGAAUGGUGCUGAUUCUAUUUGACUGAGGGGGACUGUGUUAACUAGAGAAGUGAAGCAAUCUGCAUUUGCAACCAAGAAUGGAAUGCAGUUGCCAUUAACCAAGGGAUACCUAAGAAAUGUGGACACUCUUGUCCUACCUCAUAAAUAAUAUUUUAACCUGAAAUAAGCUUAUUUUAAUCUGACACCAACUUGCUUGAAACCACAUCAGUAGUGGUAGUGAUUUUAGCUUAUUAAACAUGCAUCGAUCAUAUGAGAAAUACAAAUUGCUCUUUACGUCUCUCCCCCUUCCCACCUCACUUCCUUAGUUUCCUUCUUCCUCUCAUGUUAUUCUGUUAUAUCAAUGUCUUCAGAUCUUCAUUUGGCACUGCAAGAAAUUGGGAAAGAACAUAUCAAACAGACCAUAAAAUCCUUUUUACAAUCUUGUAAUAAUGUGCAAAAAAUUUACUUAAUUUACUGUGUUAUUUGGGGGCACUGUUGUAGCCACAUAUGCCAGUCUUUGGAUUUGCAUUGAGAUUUUUAUCACUAGAGUUGGAUUUUGCCCCUUUCCUGCCCUCCCUUAGCUGCUGUUUAUCAGGAGAUUUUUUGUGUAGUUCAGCUGCUGCUUAUCAGUUUAAACCAUCUGGGCCACUGAUAAGAACAGGAAAAGAGGCUAAUAAGGGAAGCUUAACUUCUUGGGUUGCUUACCAUGAAAAGUUUAUUUAGGAGCCAAAUCUCCUUUUAAAAUCUUCAUUCUGUAUAGUACAUUAAAAAAUGCUGAUGAUGUUUGCUCAUCAGUUUUACAACAAACAUUGCUUUGUUUUUGUAUAUGUACUCUUGCUACAUAGUUUUUCUUUUUCGGAAAUGUUUCCUUUGGAGUUAAUUCGUAAUACAUCAAACCAAAUCAUAGCCAUGUUCUCCUCUAAGAUAAAGUACCAACCUGGGGCAAAGUCUUGUGUAUCAAAUACUUUGUUAGCCUCUCCCUUCUUAUAGUACCUUGGCCUCUCUCUAUUGUUUGCCGGAGACAACAUUAAAACUCUUCACUGAUAAUUUGGUCAAUGUUGGAGUUAUAUCACAAUGGCAUUUGAGAUGAGGGAUUCUAAACUACUGACAAAGCACAACUGUGUUUUUUUGUGAUGCUUUGUGUGUUGAACAAGUUACCCAAGGUGGUGAGGAUCAAAACAUAACAUCCUUGUUGCUUAAAAUCAGAAUAUUUCAUUCUUCAGAAAUCCAGAAACUUGUCAAGAUCAAAUACAUUUCCAUAGGCUAAGAUCUUAAAUUUAACUAACAAGAGAGAAAAAGAAGGCACCCAUUACUCAACACACACACAUUUUUUUUUUCUCCUUUCCAGCCAUGAAAUGUGAUCUCCUUCCUUCUGUAUGCUCUUGUCAUCAGCUGCAGGGCCAUCCACCCAAGCCUUCUCCAUACAUUUCAACCUGUUCCUGUCCUUCCUUCCACUCCCUCCAUUCAGAUGCUUUCCAUCAUCUUGUGUCUUGACCUCUGACACAGCUCCUAAACUGUGUCAACUUCCUAAAGCCUUAUUCUUCCUGUGUCCAUCUGCCUGGAACUCAAAAGCCCAUAUAUCAUUUUUAUUUCUGAGACUUAUCGUCACCAAAGGGGUGACGUUUCUUCACCUCUGCCUGCUCUGUCAGACCCUCUGUUUUCAGUCUCCUUGCUUCUCCCUUCCCACCUCCCACCACUCCCUGCAUUGCCCUUAACACUUUAGUCGUAUGGAAAUAGGUGUAGUUUUCAGAAACAUCAUGCUGUUUCACACCUGAGCCAUUGGUCAUGGUUUCUCAUCUGCCUAUAAAAUCUCUCCCUGUAGUUUUCAGCCAGAGGCCCUUUGCCCUGCUGGGAGAUUGUUGACAAUGUCCGCAGACAUUUUUGGUUGUCAUAACUUGGGGAGGAAUGUCUUCUAGCAGGGAGAGAUCAGGGAUGUAUGAACAGCCUCCCACAAUAAGAAUUAUCUGGCCUAGAUAUUUGUAGUGCCCAGGUUGAGAAACCUUGUUCUUCCCCUACCUUUCCAAUAGGAUAAAUUCUGUUUUCCAGUUAUGAAUAUUCCGGUUAUGAAUAUUUCCAGUUAUGAAUAUUCUCUUUUCUAGGAAAUUGUCCUUGAUCCUUCCUGUCUUAGCCUUGGUAAAGUGCCCUUCCACUGUGUUUUGGAAGUGUUCUCUAUGUAUACCUGUACUGUCACCUCACAGAUGAUAUAUUGUUAUAAUUUUAAUUAUAAUUUUACUUUGUUUCAUUUUUAAUAAAUGUAAUACAGAUGCAACAAACAGGCUUUCAGGUAGUGCCAGGAUGAUGGCUAAUUCUCACAUUCUUGAUUCAGAGCAAAGCCAACAGGUGGCUCAACUACCUCCCCUCAGGCUUAAGAUAGAAAAAAAUUCAGAAACCAGCUCAAUACCAACCACCCUCCCUCCACAGAGUUAGCACUCAGCGAAGACAGGCUAUUCCCUGACUCACAUUUCUGUGGAGGAGAUGUUUCUUUUUCCAAAGCCAAGUAGAUGUCUCGGAAAAUUCUUUUUUUUUUUUUUUUUUUUUUUUUUAAAGGGAAACCUGUGAAAACGGUGACUGCCAUUUUUAUUCCUUUUUUGAAUGUCCACUUUGCCAAAGAAUUAGGGCAAUCAGAUGAGGAGAGUGAGCUUUUACUAGGGGAUGAUGUUGAAGCCACCAUCUGUCCACACCAGCCACCCAGAGAGCACAUACAAUGAGCAAGAACAACUACCACCAAUGUCAGGUAGGACUGUGACCUGGCCCGGUCAGGAGAGCAUUUCUUAUUCUUUUCCUGUUACGUCAACCCCACUCUGACAGGGAAGGAAGCAGUGGUGGGUGGAGGGAGGGGAGAGGAGAGAUGUGAAAGUCAGACCAUGAAGCCCAGGUGUCUGUCUCAGGCCAGUCAAGUCAGAGCUGUGUCCUAUGCCUGGGGUUAGGGUGGGUAAGAGAGAUGAGAUUAGAAUGAAAUGUAAUACUGAAGUUUUAAAAAUAAGUAGGGCUGAGUCUUAGGAAAUAAAAAGAUACUGUUUGUAUAAGUCAGAGUGUCUGAAAACUUACAGAAGUGGGUCAAGAGGAUAUUAAGAAAGGCGUUACUUAUUUAAGACAUCUAGGAAUAGUUACUGGCAAAAAAGUCAUGUUUAUAUCCUAAUGAGUUGACAUUCCUAAAUAAGCUGGUUAUAUAUAUCCAUGAUAAAAAUUUCAAGCAGUACAGAAAAAGAUAAUAAUUAUAUAAUAAUUAUAGUCUAUUUUUCAACACAACAUUGAAGGUCCUUGGGUCCUUUAUUCUUCUUGGAGGCCAUUCUUCACUACAGAUGCGUGUCAUGAAGUUUGGAGCAUCUUGAGUGCCUUCUGCAUUGUGGAAGAUGCUGUCAUUUUUGAAAGCCUACUGCAGGCCUGGGAUGUGAGGUGACAGAGAGGUCGGGACCAGUGCCAUUCUGUACUGGCGCUCAGAAGGAAAGGGACAAAACUACCUUGCCUGUCCCAGCCCUUGUCCCCUGUCUCCACCAGACCCACACAACUCACUCUAAUGUCAAUAUAUAAAGCUCUUUUUUGAAGGGUUGAGUAUUCCAAGAAAGACUUGCUAAAGGUAUAAAUUUUAGUUAACUUAGAAGUUGUCUUAUAUUCCACAAGGGAAGGCAUUUCAAACUUAAGACCUGUGUAUCUUGUGCCACUCUUCAUGCCACACACACACACACACACACACACACACACACACACACGCGUGCGCGCGCACACCUCAUCUGUGGGUUUCUUGGUCCGAGAAGACAGCUCCAUUUCUUUCCAUGGGAGACUUCUCUCCUAGGUUCCUUUUGGCUUCUCACAAUGUGAGGAAUGUCUCAGACCGCAUGCUUUGGACCUUUGCCUUUCUUCUCUGCCCUUCACAGUCUAUGAAGGCAAAGGGGCUGUAUCCUCCUGCCCCAGUAAAGCUGAUGACCUACCCAAUUUGCAGAGCCUAGUAUGAAAUAAUAUGGGACAUUGUGUCAAAAAAAUUCUCAGGAAUUUAAAGAUGGUGACGACAGGCACUAUGUCAAACACCGGGGCCCUUCUGAGCAUGGGGCACCGUGAUGGGGCCUUGCCCUCUGUGAGAACAGGAGCCCAGCCUCUGACUUUACUGGGUCACCUCUGAAGGGAGCAGAACUUUCAAAGCCAUGAAUUAAUUUCCCUCAGAUGUCAUGUAGUCAUGUACAUUUCCAGGAAAGAGCAUUUCCCUGCUGGCCUGACCCUGGCUCUGCCCUCCAUGAACAAUACGAGACCUGCAAUGCUGUGUGGUGUGUGUGACUCUUCACCAUCUGCCAAGCUCGAGAGCAACCCAAAGGGAAGGACCCACACGCUGGCUUUCCCUGCUCCUCUCUUGCUCAGAAAAUGCACUGUUAGCAGCUGGUUUACCUUGAUUCAAUCUACCUCUGUUAGAAGAAGGGAGGAAGGCGUUUCUAUUCCUUCUCUCUCUCUCUCUUUUUUUUUUUUUUUUGGUAGUAAAAUAUACAUAACACAAAAUUAGCCAUUAGCCAUCUUAACUACAUUUAAGUAUCCAGCUCAAGGGCAUGAAGGAUAUUCAUACUGUGGUGAAGGCAUCACAAUUACCCAUUUUUAAAACUUUUUCAUCAUUUCAAGUCUCAGUUCUUUUAUUGCGUCUGUUUCCCCAAACCACAAGCCCCUGGAUGGCUGAGAACAUGACUUACCCUUUUUUGAAUUUCUCUGACCUUUCAUAAUGUAGAUACUCAAUACACUUACUAAACUGCAUUUAAAUUCAGUAGCAGGAAAGAGAAAAGAAAGAUGUUGUAGUUUUACCCAUGGAAAUGACAGGAAGCCUAUGGUACAGUUAAUAGUGCUCGUUCCUCUUAUUGAUGCCACCACUUCUGUUCCCAGGAAGUAAUGCAGAUAGGUUAUUUCAUAUAUAAGUUGUUAUGUCCUUUAUGGUUUCCUGCUGGCUUUUAAUUGUCGAACAUCCAGGAUUUUCCUAUAAAUUGAGUAACAUGCUGCUAACAUGGAAAGCUGUGCCUUAAAUCUUUCUGUGAAGGGAAAAAAAAAAAAAAAAAACCCAG
Molecule: non-coding RNA, 14984 nt
Organism: Sus scrofa (pig)
Lineage: Eukaryota; Metazoa; Chordata; Mammalia; Artiodactyla; Suidae
Source: RefSeq, a predicted model, not a curated record